GGGCGACGGCGUGCCUUGUGCAUAAUGAGCCUACGAGUUACUUUUACCGGCAAGGUUAAGCACUUAUGGUGCGCAGCCGUAGCGAAAGCGAGUCUGAACAGGGCGCCAUAGUCGGUAGUAGUAGACGCGAAACCGUGCGAUCUACCCAUGGGCAGGUUGAAGCUGUGGUAACACAUAGUGGAGGACCGAACCCGUUGACGUUGAAAAGUCUUGGGAUGACCUGUGGGUAGGGGUGAAAGGCCAAUCAAACUCGGAAAUAGCUCGUACUCCCCGAAAUGCAUUUAGGUGCAGCGUUCUGAUAGUUAUAUAGAGGUAGAGCUACUGAUUGGAUGCGGGGGCUUCACCGCCUACCAAUUCCUGACAAACUCCGAAUGCUAUAUAAUGUUUCAGGGCAGUGAGGGCAUGGGUGCUAAGGUCCAUGUCCGAGAGGGAAAGAACCCGGACCAUCAGCUAAGGUCCCCAAAUAUGUGCUAAGUUGACAAAACGCGGUGGGACUGCACAGACAGCCAGGAUGUUGGCUUGGAAGCAGCCAUUCAUUUAAAGAGUGCGUAACAGCUCACUAGUCGAGCGA
RNAcentral lists this ribosomal RNA (571 nucleotides) under Striatella unipunctata. RNAcentral describes it as "partial Bacterial large subunit ribosomal RNA". It matches the Rfam family "Bacterial large subunit ribosomal RNA", at positions 591 to 1156 of the family's 2925-position model. Lineage: Eukaryota; Bacillariophyta; Striatellaphyceae; Striatellales; Striatellaceae. The record is from RNAcentral.